CACGGGGCGGCAGGGUGCGGCGCGUGGGCCAGAGAAGUCCAGGGCUCAGAAGAGUUAGCGGGAAGUCCAGACCCUUCUGCUAAUAUGCAUUGUUUGGAUAGUAAAGACAAAAGCUUUGCAAGGCCUCUUCUACAGCUGCCACUAUUACCUCCAGGCCAAUGGAGAAUACAUUGGAAAAAAUUAAUUUUACUGAGCAGUUAGAAUCUUCCUAAUUAGACACAGAAGAAAAACUCUAUACGCUCAGAGACCAUCUCUUGGUACCAAAACUCUGUCAAAGCCUUACCAUUUUCUUCAUUUGACAGACGGAGCACUCCACAGCUCAGAAAUAAUAAGGACAUUUGUUUCAAAUACCCCAGAAUCUACGGAGAGGAGAACCCCUCCCCACCACUCUUUCAGCAACAUUUUAGAACCAUGCCCGCACCCCGCACUUUGCCUAAUGGUAUUGCCAGUGGUUUAAUUUAUCUCACCCCAUAAAACACCGGAAAAUGAAAAUAGCACCAGUACUGAAAUGCACAGCAGUUGCUCCUUGCACAGCUCACAAGCUGGACAAAAAGAGCCAGGAUGGUGGAGAAGUGCAAGAGAGCACCAGCAGGGUCACCAGACAGGCAGUGAAUAAGCAAAACCAGACUUGAGCCCUUUCAAAUCAGCAAGACUGGGAUGGUGACUAGAGAUGAAAACUGAACAGAGAAACAGUUACCUGCCCC
Long non-coding RNA from Alligator sinensis (Chinese alligator), 704 nucleotides. RefSeq lists it as uncharacterized. Lineage: Eukaryota; Metazoa; Chordata; Crocodylia; Alligatoridae. The transcript is spliced from 3 exons. The record is from RefSeq and is a predicted model, not a curated record.